This 464-nucleotide ribosomal RNA is filed under the name uncultured Allobrachymonas sp. RNAcentral's name for it is "bacterial SSU rRNA". It matches the Rfam family "Bacterial small subunit ribosomal RNA", at positions 916 to 1381 of the family's 1533-position model. Lineage: Bacteria; Pseudomonadati; Pseudomonadota; Betaproteobacteria; Burkholderiales; Comamonadaceae. The record is from RNAcentral.
GACGGGACCCGCACAAGCGGUGGAUGAUGUGGUUUAAUUCGAUGCAACGCGAAAACCUUACCCACCUUUGACAUGGCAGGAAUCCUGAAGAGAUUUGGGAGUGCUCGAAAGAGAACCUGCACACAGGUGCUGCAUGGCUGUCGUCAGCUCGUGUCGUGAGAUGUUGGGUUAAGUCCCGCAACGAGCGCAACCCUUGCCAUUAGUUGCUACGAAAGGGCACUCUAAUGGGACUGCCGGUGACAAACCGGAGGAAGGUGGGGAUGACGUCAAGUCCUCAUGGCCCUUAUAGGUGGGGCUACACACGUCAUACAAUGGCCGGUACAGAGGGUAGCCAACCCGCGAGGGGGAGCCAAUCCCACAAAGCCGGUCGUAGUCCGGAUCGCAGUCUGCAACUCGACUGCGUGAAGUCGGAAUCGCUAGUAAUCGCGGAUCAGCAUGUCGCGGUGAAUACGUUCCCGGGUCUU